Molecule: ribosomal RNA, 495 nt
Filed under: uncultured bacterium
Lineage: Bacteria
Description: partial 16S ribosomal RNA
Rfam family: Bacterial small subunit ribosomal RNA
Source: RNAcentral
GACGAACGCUGGCGGCGUGCCUAAUACAUGCAAGUAGAACGCUGAAGGAGGAGCUUGCUUCUCUGGAUGAGUUGCGAACGGGUGAGUAACGCGUAGGUAACCUGCCUGGUAGCGGGGGAUAACUAUUGGAAACGAUAGCUAAUACCGCAUAAGAGUAGAUGUUUCAUGACAUUUUCUUAAAAGGUGCAAUUGCUUCACUACCAGAUGGACCUGCGUUGUAUUAGCUAGUUGUUGGGGUAACGGCUCACCAAGGCGACGAUACAUAGCCGACCUGUGAGGGUGAUAGGCCAAACUGGGAGUGAGAAAAGGCCCAGAAGGCUACGGGAGGCAGCAGUAGGGAAACUUCGGAAAUGGACGGAAGUCUGACCGAGAAACGCCGCGGGAGUGAAGAAGGUUGUCGGAUCGUAAAGCUCUGUUGUAAGAGAAGAAAGAGUGUGAGAGUGGAAAGUUCACACUGUGACGGUAACUUAACAGAAAGGGACGGCUAACUACGUG